This 1812-nucleotide unclassified non-coding RNA is filed under the name Leishmania donovani. RNAcentral describes it as "gene:LdHU3.32.3090(CDS-product:cytochrome-b5_redu ctase_putative)". The record is from RNAcentral. Lineage: Eukaryota; Euglenozoa; Kinetoplastea; Trypanosomatida; Trypanosomatidae.
CACGCCUCAGCAUCUGCUGCACAACACGCAUCCCGCUUCCUUCUGCGCUAUAGAGGAAAAACGCUUGAUUGGCUCUCCCUCUUGCAAUACGCAGCUCCAGCCAUCAGCGUCUCACUCUUCCCUUCUCUCUCGCUGGUGACCCAUCUCGUCUUCCUGUGGGCCCCUCUCCCCUCUCCCCUCUCCCUUCCCCACUUCCCGCCACCGUGCCGCGAAUCGCGCUUCUUGUUCUGAGUCGUUUCUCUCCGAAGAAGUCCUGCCACCUCAGCAGACAAGCAUUACAUCGCAAAACAUACUCACAGAGACAUAUCGAGCCGUCUGUUUAGAUAACCAUCCUCCUCCCUGCCCUCUUUCCUCUUUCCUCCCCCUCCCCUCGCCGGCACCCUCAUGGUCAAGCUCCUGACUUUUGGCGCCGCAGCUGCCCUCGGCGCUGCUUUUCACACCCACACGUCCUCCCAGCGCAUGGCGGCCGAGUGCGCUGCGAAGAAGGAGGUCUUCACGACCAAGUUCAAGCCCUUUGUACUGGGCGAGGUGCUCAACCUGGCUGAGGAUGUCGCUAUCUUCCGCUUUCUGCUGAACGACCCGAGCGACGUGUUCGACCUCGUGCCGUGCAGCACGCUGCAGGCACACUUCAAGGAGGGCGCGAACAUGGUGGAUCAGCCGAUGCGCUUCUACACCCCCAUCACGCCGAACGGAACGAAGGGCUACUUUGACCUUCUCGUCAAGAAGCAGCGGCCAGGCCGCUUCACCGAGCACCUCUUCUCCAUGGACGUGGGUGAGUCGCUGCUGUUCCGUGCCAUUCAGUACAAGCUAACGUACAAGAAGAAUCGCUGGACCGAUGUGGGCAUGAUCUGCGGCGGCACAGGCCUGUGCCCCAUUCUGCAGUUCAUGAACGCCUCUCUGGACACGGAGGGCGAUUCGACGAAGCUUCGCAUGCUCUUCGCCAACCGCUCAGAGAACAAGAUCCUGCUCAAGGGCCUGCUUGAUGAGAAGGCCCGCGAGCACAAGGAUCGACUGCAGAUCUUCUACACGGUGGACAACUUUGACGAUCCGAACAUGAUCGCGAAUCCAGUGUACAAGAAAGGCACUCCCUUGACGGUGGACGUCGCUAGCCAGCCGAGCACGAGCCCCGAUGGCAGAAAGUACUUCCACGGCUUCAAGGGCUACAUUGACGUGCCGAUGUUGCAGGCGACGAUGCCGAGGCCGUCGCCGUCGACGCUGCUUCUCGUCUGCGGGCCAGACCCGAUGAUGGUGAAGGUGGUCGGCGCAGCACCGAUGGUGCUGCGUGCCAUGUCCGGUGGCCUCGCGUACCAGCCCUCAGGUGCGGUGCUGAACAACGCCGCGGAUGUCUCCGGCUUCCUCGGCACCCUGGGCUACCAGAAGGAGAUGGUCUACCGCUUCUGAGGCACCUGCGUAGGUGAAGGCGAAGCUGUGGACACAAGAGCGCCGCCACGGCAACAAAGAGUUUCUUGACUAUCUUGGAAAGCCAAUCCAUGCUGCGGCGUCAACACAGACACACACACACACACACACACGCACACAAACACACACAAAGGCUGGAUGGGGCAGCUAUUGCCGUAAAGGGGCACUAGACGAGAUGCUAGAGACUUGUGGGCGAGCCCAGUGGGUGUGGGUGUGAGUGUGUGUCGCCGGAACGGCACGUGUGUAUUCGCAGAUCGUCUCUUGGGCCGGCGAAACCACUCGCUUGCCAGCGCUCCCCCACCUCCGACUAUUGCCCCACCCUCUCCAUCUCUUCUUAUCUCUAAACUUAUUCUUUCCGUUCUCUUUCUGCGCUUGCAACGAGCGCCUUGUCAG